CUGGCAGUAAACGAUGAAUACUCGCUGUUUGCGAUAUACAGUAAGCGGCCAAGCGAAAGCAUUAAGUAUUCCACCUGGGGAGUACGCCGGCAACGGUGAAACUCAAAGGAAUUGACGGGG
Molecule: ribosomal RNA, 120 nt
Filed under: uncultured bacterium
Lineage: Bacteria
Description: partial 16S ribosomal RNA
Rfam family: Bacterial small subunit ribosomal RNA
Source: RNAcentral